This is a long non-coding RNA of Passer montanus (Eurasian tree sparrow), 409 nucleotides long. RefSeq lists it as uncharacterized. Lineage: Eukaryota; Metazoa; Chordata; Aves; Passeriformes; Passeridae. The transcript has 3 exons. The record is from RefSeq and is a predicted model, not a curated record.
CCAGCCAUGGCAGGGGGAGCUGGGCAGGUCACCCACCUUUGAUUAAGUGAUUCCAGCACCUGCUGAAAGCUUUGCUCAAAACAGGAUAAAUUUUUAAUCCCUCCAAAUUGCUUCUGCAGCUGCACAAGGAGUCUCCUGGUUUUCCAUGGGGGUGACCUGCACCUUCUUGUGGCUUUUGAAAAGCUGUGGAUGAAAAUUGAGGCAAAACAUCUCGUGCCCCAGAUCUCAAAGAAAGCUCUGCUCUCACCAAGGGUUUUCAUGGCCAGGAACAUAACAAAGCACAUCAGAGGAUUUAACUACUGUUUUCCAGUGUUUCAGGCAAGUUUAAUCUAGGUCUUUAUCCUAAUCAGAACCUGUGAAGGUUUUUUUAAAUCCUCUCCUCAUAAUUAUUAUUUACAGUUAAUGCCAC